This 800-nucleotide ribosomal RNA is filed under the name uncultured bacterium. RNAcentral's name for it is "bacterial SSU rRNA". It matches the Rfam family "Bacterial small subunit ribosomal RNA", at positions 8 to 856 of the family's 1533-position model. The record is from RNAcentral.
AGAGUUUGAUCAUGGCUCAGAACGAACGCUGGCGGCAGGCCUAACACAUGCAAGUCGAGCGCCCCGCAAGGGGAGCGGCGGACGGGUGAGUAACGCGUGGGAAUUUUCCUCAAGGUAGGGAACAACUCAGGGAAACUUGGGCUAAUACCCUAUGAUGCAGAGAUGCCAAAGAUUUAUCGCCUUGGGAUAAGCCCGCGUCAGAUUAGGUAGUUGGUGGGGUAACGGCCUACCAAGCCUGCGAUCUGUAGCUGGUCUGAGAGGACGAUCAGCCACAUUGGGACUGAGACACGGCCCAAACUCCUACGGGAGGCAGCAGUGGGGAAUCUUGCGCAAUGGGCGAAAGCCUGACGCAGCCAUGCCGCGUGAAUGAUGAAGGUCUUAGGAUUGUAAAGUUCUUUCGCCUGUGACGAUGAUGACGGUAACAGGAGAAGAAGCCCCGGCUAACUUCGUGCCAGCAGCCGCGGUAAUACGAAGGGGGCUAGCGUUGUUCGGAAUUACUGGGCGUAAAGCGCGCGUAGGCGGUUUUGCAAGCCAGAGGUGAAAUGCCUGAGCUCAACUUAGGAAUUGCCUUUGGGACUGUGAGGCUUUGAGGACGGAAGAGGUGAGUGGAAUUCCCAGUGUAGAGGUGAAAUUCGUAGAUAUUGGGAAGAACACCGGUGGCGAAGGCGGCUCACUGGUCCGUUUCUGACGCUAAAGCGCGAAAGCGUGGGGAUCAAACAGGAUUAGAUACCCUGGUAGUCCACGCUGUAAACGAUGAGUGCUAGGCGUCGGCAGGCUUGCCUGUCGGUGCCGCAGCUAAC